CUGAGCAUGUGUGACCGACAUGUGUGAUCGACAUGUGUGACCGACAUGUGUGACCGACAUGUGUGAUCGACAUGUGUGACCGACUUGUCUAGACUUAAAUCUAUAAGGUGAACAUAACCAAGAGUAACAGACUAUUAAAAUAAAAGCAGAAAGCAAGUAGAUGGGGGAUUAGGUCACCAGGUGCAGCAAACUACAGGACGUUUCGAGGCAUAAGAUGUAAGGAAGGACUUGUGUUGUAAGCAGUACAAAAGGUCAUCUAUGAUGUUGCAAGAAUACAAGCCUGAAAAGCAAAUGCUGAUGUUGUACUCUGUUGUGCUCAUUUGUUGCUGGCUACAGAGUUAUGUGCUCUCAAGACAAGAAGUCCAAAGAGAGAUGGGUGUCUCGGUAGAAGAAGAAGCUAAGAGAUUGUGCCAUUUAGCUAGCAGCUGUUCUUGCCCUAAGCUUCUCCUUCAAAGUAUACAAAAUCCAGAUAACAGGAUCACACUUUAAAUCACUUCCGCAUUUUGCUGGGAUGCGACAGACAGAGAUGUGAAAAGUGGAAAGAAUGUAUUGUGUGUGACAACAGAUGUAAGGUGGGGCUCUUGGGAAUUAGGAAACUGAAAUAUGCUGAGCACAUGCAAAUGGAGAUCACACAUUAGAUGGCAGAUGGGAAAGAUGUAGAGACAAUUUAUCAGUUUCAGAUUAUAGAUUACCAAACAGCAGAAAACAAACUGCAAAAGGGAGUAACAUAAAGAAAUAACUAGAAAUGUUCGGAGUUCAUUUGUCAAUAUAUUUCAUAGUUUCCUUAAAGCAACGACAGAGGAUGCUUUAUGUAAGACAUUUUUAUGACUUCCUACUAUGCUG
Molecule: long non-coding RNA, 843 nt
Organism: Hyla sarda
Lineage: Eukaryota; Metazoa; Chordata; Amphibia; Anura; Hylidae
Exons: 3
Source: RefSeq, a predicted model, not a curated record